GGUUGUGGUUCAGUGGGUAGAGCACUUGCCUUGAAUGUGAGAAGCACUGGGUUCGAUCCUCAGCACCA
RNAcentral lists this transfer RNA (68 nucleotides) under Marmota monax (woodchuck). RNAcentral describes it as "tRNA.Ser". It matches the Rfam family "tRNA". Rfam says of the family: Transfer RNA (tRNA) molecules are approximately 80 nucleotides in length. Lineage: Eukaryota; Metazoa; Chordata; Mammalia; Rodentia; Sciuridae. The record is from RNAcentral.